Mercurialis annua (annual mercury) is the source of this 633-nucleotide long non-coding RNA. RefSeq lists it as uncharacterized. The record is from RefSeq and is a predicted model, not a curated record. The transcript is spliced from 3 exons. Lineage: Eukaryota; Viridiplantae; Streptophyta; Magnoliopsida; Malpighiales; Euphorbiaceae.
AGAACCGGUUCAUUACGGGUUUGCUUAUAAAAACUUCGUUUCUCGACCAAAUCAGCCCCCACUCGUUCCCACAAACCCUAAACUGAUUUCUAAACAUUUAUAGACAAUUCCCAAUCACAUUUUGGUGCCUCAAGACACUUGCCAUUAUUCCACUAUUUUUCUGAGUUUUCCUUGCUCUUUUGGAUUGCUAAGACCCGUCGACUGCUCGUGCUUCGGAGUCGGAUCAGGUUUAGUUGCUUGUCAAGUUUUCACGUGGAUUUGCAAGCAGUGAGUUUGUACUUACUAUUUACCGCUUUAUUAAGUAAAUUGUUAUUUUAAUAAUAAAUAUAUAUACUGUACGUAUAUUUCGAACUGGUUUUAUAUUAUGGCUUCUAGUUGGAACAUGCUACCUAAUGGGCAUCAUUAGGACUGCGUGCGCACCGGUAAUGAUCUGGGAAAGGUAUUUAUGGUAAUGUGGUAACUCGGUGUGAGCAUAGCUCUCGGGACCAAGUAGAGUAACUCGGUGUAGCUCAGCUCUCGGGACUCUGGUAUAAGUGUGGUCAGUGGUAACUCGGUGUAGCUCAGCUCUCGGGACCAGACCUAUUGGAUUAUGUUUAUUAUUUAGAAUUGUGGAUUAGGGUUCCAACUAUUAUC